RNAcentral lists this transfer RNA (65 nucleotides) under Populicerus albostriatus. Its description in RNAcentral is "tRNA-Arg". The record is from RNAcentral. Lineage: Eukaryota; Metazoa; Arthropoda; Insecta; Hemiptera; Cicadellidae. RNAcentral also lists the same sequence under 2 other names.
GACAAAGAAGUAAGUUUACAUUUAGUUUCGACCUAAAAUUUAAAGAAUAAUAAUUCUUCAUGUCU